UACGAAGGGGGCUAGCGUUGCUCGGAAUCACUGGGCGUAAAGCGCACGUAGGCGGGUCCUUAAGUCAGGGGUGAAAUCCCGGAGCUCAACUCCGGAACUGCCUUUGAUACUGGGGAUCUUGAGUCCGGAAGAGGUGAGUGGAACUCCGAGUGUAGAGGUGAAAUUCGUAGAUAUUCGGAAGAACACCAGUGGCGAAGGCGGCUCACCGGUCCGGUACUGACGCUGAGGUGCGAAAGCGUGGGGAGCAAACAGG
This 253-nucleotide ribosomal RNA is filed under the name uncultured bacterium. Its description in RNAcentral is "partial 16S ribosomal RNA". It matches the Rfam family "Bacterial small subunit ribosomal RNA", at positions 524 to 776 of the family's 1533-position model. The record is from RNAcentral.